GCCUCCUAUAACAAUGAUUGACAGGGAGCUAAGAUGGAGGCGCCCAGUCCCAGGGUAUUGAUAAGUACAGGGUGAAGAUUCCUACAUUUAUUGUAAAACAUAAUAUUAAAAGACUGGGAGCUGACCGUCCCCAUUUAAUGUGAGCUGUUAGCUGCGUUAGCCAAUGACGGAUUCACAUGGCCGCCGCCUGAAUCUUCGUUUCCCUCCACGUUUACAGGGAUGUUGUGUUUUCCCGAGCGCACGUUGCUUCUUCACGAUGUGCAGGACAUAAAAAGUGCUGCACUGCGUUGAUUAAUGAAUACAUUUCCCUUCGGCAACCUUAGAAUAAGUCAUUCUAUCGGGCAGCACUUUUCAUGCUCUGCC
This is a non-coding RNA of Pelobates cultripes (western spadefoot toad), 363 nucleotides long. The record is from the annotation of a GenBank genome assembly. NCBI's taxonomy places the organism in Eukaryota, Metazoa, Chordata, Amphibia, Anura, Pelobatidae.